AGUGAACGCUGGCGGUAGGCCUAACACAUGCAAGUCGAACGGCAGCACAGUAAGAGCUUGCUCUUACGGGUGGCGAGUGGCGGACGGGUGAGGAAUACAUCGGAAUCUACUUUUUCGUGGGGGAUAACGUAGGGAAACUUACGCUAAUACCGCAUACGACCUACGGGUGAAAGCAGGGGAUCUUCGGACCUUGCGCGAUUGAAUGAGCCGAGGUCGGAUUAGCUAGUUGGCUGGGUAAAGGCCCACCAAGGCGACGAUCCGUAGCUGGUCUGAGAGGAUGAUCAGCCACACUGGAACUGAGACACGGUCCAGACUCCUACGGGAGGCAGCAGUGGGGAAUAUUGGACAAUGGGCGCAAGCCUGAUCCAACCCUACCGCGUGGGGGAAGAAGGCCUUCGGGUUGUAAAGCUCUUUUGUUGGGAAAGAAAAGCAGCAGGUUAAUACCCCGCUGUUCUGACGGUACCCAAAGAAUAAGCACCGGCUAACUUCGUG
Molecule: ribosomal RNA, 492 nt
Filed under: uncultured bacterium
Lineage: Bacteria
Description: partial 16S ribosomal RNA
Rfam family: Bacterial small subunit ribosomal RNA
Source: RNAcentral